Molecule: ribosomal RNA, 200 nt
Filed under: uncultured bacterium
Lineage: Bacteria
Description: partial 16S ribosomal RNA
Rfam family: Bacterial small subunit ribosomal RNA
Source: RNAcentral
AGAGUUUGAUCAUGGCUCAGGAUUAACGUUGGUAGUAUGCUUAACACAUGCAAGUCGAGCGGAAAGUAGCAAUACUUUUAGCGGCGAACGGGUGAGUAAUACUUAUCUAACUUGCCAAUUAGUGGGGGAUAACCAUGGGAAACCAUGGCUAAUACCGCAUUUGUUACUUGUAAUGAAAGGGGGUCGCAAGAUUCUCGCUA